AUGCAGCUCUAAAUUGGGAGGUAAAUUUCUUCUAAAGCUAAAUACUGGCCAGAGACCGAUAGCGCACAAGUAGAGUGAUCGAAAGAUGAAAAGCMCUUUGGAAAGAGAGUCAAACAGCACGUGAAAUUGUUGAAAGGGAAGCGCUUGCAGCCAGACUUGCCUGUAGUUGCUCAUCCGGGCUCUUACCCGGUGCACUCUUCUGCGGGCAGGCCAGCAUCAGUUUGGGCGGUUGGAUAAAGGUYUYUGGCACGUUCCUCUCUUCGGAGAGGCCAUAUAGGGGAGACGACAUACAACCAGCCUGGACUGAGGUCCGCGCAAUCUUGCUAGGAUGCUGGCGCAAUGGCUGUAAGCGGCCCGUCUUGAAACACGGACCAAGGAGUCUAACAUCUAUGCGAGUGUUUGGGUGUCAAGCCCGAGCGCGUAAUGAAAGUGAACGGAGGUGGGAACCCGUAAGGGUGCACCAUCGACCGAUCCUGAUGUCUUCGGAAGGAUUUGAGUAAGAGCAUGGCUGUUGGGACCCGAAAGAUGGUGAACUAUGCUUGAAUAGGGUGAAGCCAGAGGAAACUCUGGUGGAGGCUCGCAGCGGUUCUGACGUGCAAAUCGAUCGUCAAAUUUGGGCAUAGGGGCGAAAGACUAAUCGAACUAUCUAGUAGCUGGUUCCUGCCGAAGUUUCCCUCAGGAUAGCAGUAACGUAUUCAGUUUUAUGAGGUAAAGCGAAUGAUUAGAGGCCUGGGGGUUGAAACAACCUUCACCUAUUCUCAAACUUUAAAUAUGUAAGAAGUCCUUGUUACUUAAUUGAACGUGGACACUUGAAUGAACGUUAUUAGUGGGCCAUUUUUGGUAAGCAGAACUGGCGAUGCGGGAUGAACCGAACGAGGGGUUAAGGUGCCGGAAUAUACGCUCAUCAGACACCACAAAAGGUGUUGGUUCAUCUAGACAGCAGGACGGUGGCCAUGGAAGUCGGAAUCCGCUAAGGAGUGUGUAACAACUCACCUGCCGAAUGAACUAGCCCUGAAAAUGGAUGGCGCUCAAGCGUAUUACCCAUACCCCUCCGCCGGGGCAAAAUUUACGCCCCGGCGAGUAGGCAGGCGUGGAGGCUCGU
This 1102-nucleotide ribosomal RNA is filed under the name Decorospora gaudefroyi. RNAcentral describes it as "eukaryotic LSU rRNA". It matches the Rfam family "Eukaryotic large subunit ribosomal RNA", at positions 280 to 1401 of the family's 3401-position model. The record is from RNAcentral. Lineage: Eukaryota; Fungi; Ascomycota; Dothideomycetes; Pleosporales; Pleosporaceae.